GGGUCCAAAAUCAAUGGUCGAGUAUUGGCAUUUUAA
Molecule: transfer RNA, 36 nt
Filed under: Aristolochia sp. XL-2019e
Lineage: Eukaryota; Viridiplantae; Streptophyta; Magnoliopsida; Piperales; Aristolochiaceae
Description: partial tRNA-Lys
Source: RNAcentral